This 461-nucleotide long non-coding RNA is filed under the name Anas platyrhynchos platyrhynchos (common mallard). Its description in RNAcentral is "lncRNA (ENSAPLG00000017892.1)". Lineage: Eukaryota; Metazoa; Chordata; Aves; Anseriformes; Anatidae. The record is from RNAcentral.
CAGGCUAGAUAUUUUUCCUGUAUCUCCACAUUCCAGCUUUGCUCUCCCAUUAAUCUGAAUGUGGCUUGUUUCCAGUGGGCUUCACUGCUGGGGAAAGGAGUAUUUCCUAAAGCAAGAUGUAAACAACUUUUUAGAGUAAAUGGUAUGGUAGAAACAAUGUGUCAAAUCCAGUCCUUAAGGAAAAAAAAUAAAUCAAGUGUCACGCAUCAAAAGAAAGACAUUAAAAUAAAAACAGUGAAGAAAAAAGAAAGAAAAAAAAAAAAAAAAAAAAAAUAAAGGUGUAAGCAAUAUACUCUUUAUUUUUUAGUCAUCUGUAAAUCAUACUGAAAAUAUAUCUGAGUUACUUUGCCUGAAUAAUUGGUAGAAGUAUAUUAGGAAAUUUUAAGUGUUUGGAGGCAGAUGCCUCUUCUACAUCCCUGAAGAAAAAUUAAGAAUAAAAGCAUCUUUAACAGUUUAGAACA